Molecule: long non-coding RNA, 1281 nt
Filed under: Manihot esculenta (cassava)
Lineage: Eukaryota; Viridiplantae; Streptophyta; Magnoliopsida; Malpighiales; Euphorbiaceae
Description: long non-coding RNA (MESC_LNC006548)
Source: RNAcentral
UACAAUAUUUAUGGCUACAAACGAGUGGUUUUUCCUUUUUAAUUAGAUCACUAAAUCAAGGAGAGACAUACAACUCUACUUUAAUAAAACAAUGACAAUAAAUUUUAAAGUAAAAAAAUAAAAAUGUGAUCUUCAAGUCUUUUAGAAAAAUUAAAUUACAUUACUGCAACAAGAGCAUGGUGCAAUUAAGACGCUAAAGAUGAUCAUUAAAUUCAAGUCUUGAAAAAUUAAAUUCAAGUCUCUCUACGGCCAACGCUCCUAAUUAACACUGUGCUCUGUGUCUUUGCAUGGUUACUACUUGAAUCUUGGGAUCAUUAGCUUUUUGCCUUGUGGAUCACUUUUACCUGCUCUAUGCUCGAAUCCCUCUUUGACCAUAUUUUCCAGAGCAGUUACGAGGCUCCCUCUAUGGAUUUCAUCUCUAGCUGCAUUUUGCAUGGAUUUCUAUGAUCCUUGUGUUCUCUUGUUGGAAUUUUUACAUUUGGCCAACUGCUAGAGCAUGAAUCCUCUCUCGGAAGUUUUUGGUUGGGGGGCGCAACUGCCUCUAUUGUUUUUCUAGGUCUCUUUAGGGUCCUAACCCAUUUUUUAUCCUAGGAUUUCUGGGCGUAAGGAGUCUCCUUCAAUGCGCACUGAAUUCAGACAUUUCUCCACAGCUAAAUAAACAGCAUCCCUGCAAGCUAAUGCUUCAAGAAUAAGGAGGGAUCAGAAACACCCUCUACAAUUCUACACCGUCAAAGCAAAGGAGUCCCAUUCCAGCAUGAGUAGUAGCCACAGAACCUCUGUCCCCAAUCCUAUCAACAUCUUCAUCAAAGUUGAGCUUAAUUUGUGUGGGGCAACCCAUGCAAUAGCGGAAGCAGGAAAAUUAUCAAUCAACAAGUUUGGAUGUAUAGCAGAAUAAUUUGUUUCAUUAAAAUCCUUUGAAUGAAUAGAAGCCAAGCGAAUAACCUCAUGCCAACUCAUAUGAGAGUUGCGGAAAAUGAGGGAGUUCGUAGCCUUCAAAUCUGCCAUAAAAGAAAAACUGCCUGCUAAUUAAAUAAGAUCGUUUCCGUCUGGAAGAUACUGGAGAAGCCUCAACAAAGCUUCCUAGGAAGACUGAAUAUCGGCAAACGGCAAUAAAGCUGAUGUGCAUCCAAAUAAGGAGUUACUCCAAACAGAAGCAGCCGGAAGACAUGUGAAAAUCAAAUCGGAUAAUAUUUCCGGCUGCCCAGAGAGAUUGCAAGACGGGUCGACCUGAUAAUAGUCUAUUGUGCGAGGGAUUGUUCCAGAAAUAGUAAAUUCAUUUUU